GGGUUAUUGCUUUCGUGUGGUGAGAGCAAGCGACUGAUAAUUGCCAGGUCACUGGUUCGAAUCCAGUACAACGCGCCA
Molecule: transfer RNA, 78 nt
Filed under: Escherichia coli
Lineage: Bacteria; Pseudomonadati; Pseudomonadota; Gammaproteobacteria; Enterobacterales; Enterobacteriaceae
Also listed under: 2 other names
Description: tRNA-Ile
Rfam family: tRNA
About the family: Transfer RNA (tRNA) molecules are approximately 80 nucleotides in length. Their secondary structure includes four short double-helical elements and three loops (D, anti-codon, and T loops).
Source: RNAcentral